AUUGGCGUGUGAGGGCAUGUCGGAUCCCUGCUCGGGCAGCGACGACAUUUCGUGCACGUCUCUUCAAUCGUUGGCUCAAGUGCGUGCAAGCCUUGGCCGUUGUCGGUCUCCUGUGCUGCAUACCUACCGCGAGGGCAUUCGGUCGGCUCAAACAUCCCAUUUUCGCCUUGUGCCGUGCCUCCCCAGGCUGCGGCACGGGGUGAACCACGAAGCAUCUGUCGUGUUCCACUUCUCGAUCGCGUUUGGCGCCCUCGGGUUUGUUGGCCCAUGGCGGCAUGCUUGAUCUCUCGGAUUCGGAAAACUCAGUCGGUAUGAGGCCCUCGGGCCUCUAUUUGCCCCAAACAUAGCGUGUUAUACGCUCGUCCGAACGACUGCCGCUCUCGUUUUGAUCGGGCCCUCGUGUCUCGAUUCAUGCGGCGACGGCGUCGACGAGGAAUGCUAC
This 442-nucleotide unclassified non-coding RNA is filed under the name Jacaranda crassifolia. RNAcentral's name for it is "partial external transcribed spacer". The record is from RNAcentral. RNAcentral also lists the same sequence under 1 other name. Lineage: Eukaryota; Viridiplantae; Streptophyta; Magnoliopsida; Lamiales; Bignoniaceae.